This 253-nucleotide ribosomal RNA is filed under the name uncultured bacterium. Its description in RNAcentral is "partial 16S ribosomal RNA". It matches the Rfam family "Bacterial small subunit ribosomal RNA", at positions 524 to 776 of the family's 1533-position model. The record is from RNAcentral.
UACAGAGGUCGCAAGCGUUGUUCGGAUUCACUGGGCGUAAAGGAUGCGUAGGUGGCCAGGUAAGUUUGGUGUGAAAGCUCGGAGCUUAACUCCGAAAAGUCAUUGAAUACUAUCUGGCUGGAGGGUCGGAGGGGAGACUGGAAUUCUCGGUGUAGCAGUGAAAUGCGUAGAUAUCGAGAGGAACACCAGUGGCGAAGGCGACUCGCUGGACAAGUAUUGACGCUGAGGUGCGAAAGCGUGGGGAGCAAACAGG